Molecule: ribosomal RNA, 276 nt
Filed under: Streptococcus agalactiae
Lineage: Bacteria; Bacillati; Bacillota; Bacilli; Lactobacillales; Streptococcaceae
Description: partial 23S ribosomal RNA
Rfam family: Bacterial large subunit ribosomal RNA
Source: RNAcentral
AAGGGAAAGUUGAGAGGAUCGGCUCCUAGUACGAGAGGACCAGAGUGGACUUAGCGCGGGUGUACCAGAUGUCAUGCCAAAGGCAUCGCUGGGUAGCUAUGUAGGGAAGGGAUAAGCGCUGAAAGCAUCUAAGUGCGAAGCCCACCUCAAGAUGAGAUUUCCCAUGAUUUUAUAUCAGUAAGAGCCCUGAGAGAUGAUCAGGUAGAUAGGUUAGGAGUGUAAUUGUGGUGACACAUUUAGCGGACUAAUACUAAUAGCUCGAGGACUUAUCCAAAA